Molecule: non-coding RNA, 421 nt
Organism: Erinaceus europaeus (western European hedgehog)
Lineage: Eukaryota; Metazoa; Chordata; Mammalia; Eulipotyphla; Erinaceidae
Source: the annotation of a RefSeq genome assembly
UGCUACCAUGAACACACUGAGAUCCACUCUCCUGCUGCUUCUGCUCCCUUCCUGGGUUCUGGCCCAGGUCACCCUGCUCGAAUCAGGACCUACUCUGGUGAAACCCACACAGACCCUGACACUGACCUGCUCCUUCUCUGGGUUCUCAUUAACCACUACUAAUAUGGGUGUUGGCUGGGUCCGACAGCUUUCUGAGAAGACACUGGAAUGGCUCACACACAUUUGGUGGGAUAAUGAUAAACACUUCAAUCCAUCUCUGAAGAAUCGGCUUACAAUUUCCAAAGACACCUCUAAAAACCAGGUGACCUUAACAAUGACCAGUAUGGGCCCCGAAGACACUGCCAAGUAUUACUGUGCAAAAAUAGCACAGAGACACAGUCCAAGACAUUCCAGUACAAGAACCCUGGCUGGAUUUCAAUAA